GACGAACGCUGGCGGCGUGCUUAACACAUGCAAGUCGAACGGAAAGGCCCUGCUUUUGUGGGGUGCUCGAGUGGCGAACGGGUGAGUUACACGUGAGUAACCUGCCCUUGACUUUGGGAUAACUUCAGGAAACUGGGGCUAAUACCGGAUAGGAGCUCCUGCUGCAUGGUGGGGGUUGGAAAGUUUCGGCGGUUGGGGAUGGACUCGCGGCUUAUCAGCUUGUUGGUGGGGUAGUGGCUUACCAAGGCUAUGACGGGUAGCCGGUCUGAGAGGGUGACCGGCCACAUUGGGACUGAGAUACGGCCCAGACUCCUACGGGAGGCAGCAGUGGGGAAUAUUGCACAAUGGGCGGAAGCCUGAUGCAGCAACGCCGCGUGCGGGAUGACGGCCUUCGGGUUGUAAACCGCUUUCGCCUGUGACGAGGCGUGAGUGACGGUAAUGGGUAAAGAAGCACCGGCUAACUACGUG
This 468-nucleotide ribosomal RNA is filed under the name uncultured bacterium. Its description in RNAcentral is "partial 16S ribosomal RNA". It matches the Rfam family "Bacterial small subunit ribosomal RNA", at positions 28 to 507 of the family's 1533-position model. The record is from RNAcentral.